GGCUGCAGAUCCCCCACGAGCCCGAGCUGAUGAGGAAGGAGAUCUCCCGGCUCAACAGACAGUUGGAAGAGAAAAUAAAUGACUGUGCCGAAGUGAAGCAGGAGCUGGCGGCCUCCAGGACGGCGCGGGAUGCUGCGCUGGAGCGGGUGCAGAUGCUGGAACAGCAGGUGUCUGUCCCUCGGGCUCCGGACGGCACCGACCAGAUGUCUGCUGGCCGGUGGUAGCUGAGAUCAUGGGACAGGCUGGGCUGAAGCCUUGGUGGCACUGAGCGGGCAGUGGUCACGGUGGGGACGCUUCCUCCUUCCUUGAGCAGAAAUGUGUGUCUCGCCUCUCCUCAGAUUCUCGCUUACAAGGAUGACUUCAUGUCAGAAAGGGCCGAUCGGGAACGGGCUCAAAGUAGGAUUCAAGAACUGGAGGAAAAGGUCACCUCUUUGCUGCACCAGGUGUCCUGGAGACAGGAUUCUCGAGAGCCAGACGCCCGCCGGAUUCACGUUGGGAGCAAAACUGCCAAGUACUUGGCCACCGAUGCAUUAGAGCUUAUGGUGCCUGGUGGCUGGAGGCCUGGGACUGGGUCCCAGCAGCUGGAACCCCCUGCAGAGGGCGGGCAUCCUGGCGCGGCCCAGAGAGGCCAGGGGGACCUUCAGUGCCCUCACUGCCUGCAGUGCUUCAGUGACGAGCAAGGUGAAGAGCUCCUCAGGCAUGUGGCCGAGUGCUGCCAGUGAUGGAGACUCACCCGUGCCCUUGGGAUCCCCUGGCCCGGCGCAGCUGCCCUCAGGGACAGGGUGGGUGCUCUCAGAUGCCAUGGGUUGAGCUCUACUGAGAGCCAAGGCCCCUAGAAUAGAUGCGGGGCACUGUGAUCAUUCACUUUGGUCCCUUUGGCUAUGGAACAGGCUGGGUCACAGGG
Molecule: small RNA, 904 nt
Filed under: Pongo abelii (Sumatran orangutan)
Lineage: Eukaryota; Metazoa; Chordata; Mammalia; Primates; Hominidae
Description: retained intron
Source: RNAcentral